This is a long non-coding RNA of Schistocerca americana (American grasshopper), 2857 nucleotides long. RefSeq lists it as uncharacterized. Lineage: Eukaryota; Metazoa; Arthropoda; Insecta; Orthoptera; Acrididae. The record is from RefSeq and is a predicted model, not a curated record. The transcript has 3 exons.
UAUCCGUGUCGUCUUAGGACUGUUUACGUUGUCGGCCAUCUUUUAGUUAGGUAGAAAGUUUCUCUUGCUGUUAACGAAGUGUGUGUUGUGAGUGAAAAAUUGUUAUUUUUUGUUCCACAUAUAACUGUACGAACUUGUGGAGCAAAGAAAGUGAUUUAACUUUCCACAGGUUUCCUCUAGAAAAAGACGAUUUGCUGAAACAGUAGGUAAUUGCCACUAAACGCAAAGGUUUCACUCCUACAAGGGCUAGUUUCUUGUGUGGAGAUAACGUUUUGUAAGAAGAUUAUUUAGUAAGGCCUGGUACUUCGAAUGGCAACUCAAACCUGAUGCAGUGCCAUCACAGUUUGCGUUUCCAACGCAUUUAAUGCCCAAGGAAAAGCAACCAAGGCGACAGAUUAGAAUAACAACUGAACAGUCUACUAUACAAACUCACGAUUAUAUUGAACAGCUUUCUCUGAGUUGCAAACAUCUAAGGAAUGUGGAUCUCAAACACAAAUAGAAAUGAUUGACAAGGCUACUGCCAUAUGCAAUUUUUUAUCAGAUGUGGACGCACUGAGAAGAAAAAUCAAGAGCCUGGAGGAAAUAAUUAGGAGAAGAGAAAAGAAAAACUGUUCAAUGAAAGACAUCAUAAGUGCUCUGAAAGAGAAGGUUCAUCUAACAGUGAAGCUGCAUGAAUUCCUGAAUCAACGAACAGGGACUCAGGGGGAAUUAGUGUGCAAUUUAUUGAAUAAUUCAGUGUCAUCCAAGGGAAACAGGUACAAAACAGACAUUAAAAUGUUUGCAAUGACGGUGUAUUUUUACUCUCCUAAUGUGUAUGAAUGUUUAGACAUUAAUGCCUCUGCCUCACAAAUCUGAUUCCUUGUUGGGUAGGGACCGUUAAUUGUGAUCCUGGCCUUUUAAGUGAUGUGUUCGGGUACUUUGAGUUUAACCAUCAAGUGAGAACUGAAUUUAAAGGUUUUAGCCUCAUAAUAGACAGUGUGGCAAUUAGAAAACAGGUAGUAUUGGACCAGGAAACUAAGAGGUAUACAGGUUUUGCAGAUUUUGGAGGAGAAGUUGAAAAAUCAAAAGAAGUGAAAGAAACUUCAGAGGCAUUAAUUUUUAUGCUUGUGUCCAUAAAAGGUAAAUUAAAGUGUCCCAUAUUUUUAGUGAAUGGAUUUGAUAUUAGUGUGCAGGCAAAGGUAAUAAACUCUGUUCUGGAGAGGCUAUGCAGUUCAGGCAUCAGGAUUUGGGCAGUCACUUGUGAUGGCACAAGGAGAAAUAUAAGUACUCUUCAUUUAUUGGAAUGCAGUAUUUAUUUUCAUCAAAAUUUUUUUCUUCUAAGUUCCUUUACCCAGUUUCAAACCACAAUGUUCACUGCAUUUUGGAUAUGUGUCUUUAGUGGCAGUACUUAAAGGAACUAAAUGAGUUGCAAAUUGAGGAAGGCAUGACAUUUGCUAACAAGUUACCAGGACAACAUAUUAAUUACAUUAAUAAAAACGUGAAUGUCUGGUUAGCAGUUAAAACACUUUCAGUUCUAGUGUUGCAGAUGCUAUAGAUAUUUUGAGAAGAGCUGGCAAUCCAAGUUUUCCCAAGAUCAUAUUGAACUCUUCUUCUCAUGUGUGAGGAUCCAGAGGGGGUUGGAUGAAUAACCCAAAUUCAUAUCAGUUGAAGUGUGCUAUGCAUAAGUUGCUUUUAGGCAGUAAUGUUAGCACUGUUGGGGGAAACUGUACAAAUUUUAACAUGUGUUUAAUGGUACCUGUGGGACUGAGUGAUUUCUGAUCACAAAAGCGUCCUCUUAUAGAUGAUGAUGAUGAUUCUUUUAUGUUUGUAGAUGAAGUAGAAAAAUGGUGCUCAUCUAUUGAAGAGGGUACUCCGUUUUCUACAUACAAGUAGAACAUUUUGUACUACACUGCAGGAUAUGUUGCCCUCACAAUUUCAAAACAAGUUACAUGUAAGAAGUGCCUCUACAUUCUUAGGCCACCUGUCGUUUGUAAUGCCGUAAUGUAAGCACUUCUCAGUACUGCAGAAAAGAGCUCAUUCACGAAAUUUGUAAGCCAAGGUAAGCUUAUUGAAACAAGUAGUCCUUGUAUACUCUGUGGUGGAGCGCUCAGAAAAAUUGUUUCAAAUGUUUGUUGUCAAUGGUGACAUGAGGCAAAAGCACUUAAUUACUAAGAUUGUCAUGUGUGUCCUUAAGAUUUAUGAACUAUUCAUUCCCUCAACUUGACCAUGACUUCCAUAAUGGAUGCGGAGUUGAAGAUUUGCAUGAGACACGGCUUGCGCGUAAGAUAGCAUCUAGGUACAUUUACGAGUGGCUGAAAGCAAAUGGGAAAAGGUUUUCAGUUGAGAAGAUAGGUCACAAUACAUCUAGUGUAAGACAAAAACUCAGCAAGAUUAUUUUAUUCAGUAAUGUUUAAUGUUGUGCCUGUAACAUUGCAGUAGUGGUUAAAAAUGUAUGGAAAUGAAAAAACUAAAUUUCAUAUUUUGUGUUUCAGUGUGUUUUUGUGUUCUCGUUUCAAUAUACUUGCUCAUGCUUAAUGUUUACAGUAUUAAUCAUUUUACAAACGAUAAAAAAGUACAUAGACAUAUGAAAGUGUUACUUGAGACAUUACAAUCAGGGUAGCUUUUAACUAAUCAUGCUAUCUUUGUACCAACUGCUAUUUUUGUUUCGAAUGGCUGGUGUCACACCUGUUUGUAUUAUUUUGUAUAAAAGUCACGUUUUUAUUACCUCUGUGAUUCAUUCAAAUGUUUUUCCACCUCCCUAAAAGCUCUUAGGCUUGUGAUUUUUCUUUAAUUGCUUUGACUGUGAAGUAAGCUUCUGACAGUGAUUUAAGUUGAACACUGCCAGACUGAUACAAACAUCUUGAUAUUUCGAAAUAAA